Molecule: ribosomal RNA, 406 nt
Filed under: uncultured bacterium
Lineage: Bacteria
Description: partial 16S ribosomal RNA
Rfam family: Bacterial small subunit ribosomal RNA
Source: RNAcentral
AUUGAACGCUGGCGGCAGGCCUAACACAUGCAAGUCGAGCGAGCGGCGGACGGGUGAGGAAUGUCUGGGAAACUGCCUGAUGGAGGGGGAUAACUACUGGAAACGGUAGCUAAUACCGCAUACCAUCAUAUGUGCCCAGAGGGGAUUAGCUUGUAGGUGUGGUAACGGCUCACCGAGGCGACGAUGCCUAGCUGGUCUGAGAGGAUGACCAGCCACCCUGGAACUGAGACACGGUCCAUAGGCCGACGGGAGGCAGCAGUGGGGAAUAUUGCACAAUGGGCGAAAGGCUGAUGCAGCCAUGCCGCGUGGGUGAAGAAGGCCUUCGGGUUGUAAAGCACUUUCAGCGGGGAGGCGUUACCCGCAGAAGAAGCACCGGCUAACUCCGUGCCAGCAGCCGCGGUAAUAC